GACGGUAUAGAUAGGUGGUAGAGCGUGUGCUUACCAUGCAUGAGGUCUCGGGUUCAAUCCCCAGUACCGCCG
Molecule: transfer RNA, 72 nt
Filed under: Camelus bactrianus (Bactrian camel)
Lineage: Eukaryota; Metazoa; Chordata; Mammalia; Artiodactyla; Camelidae
Also listed under: 2 other names
Rfam family: tRNA
About the family: Transfer RNA (tRNA) molecules are approximately 80 nucleotides in length. Their secondary structure includes four short double-helical elements and three loops (D, anti-codon, and T loops).
Source: Rfam by way of RNAcentral